RNAcentral lists this ribosomal RNA (1470 nucleotides) under metagenome. RNAcentral's name for it is "bacterial SSU rRNA". It matches the Rfam family "Bacterial small subunit ribosomal RNA". The record is from RNAcentral.
AGAGUUUGAUCCUGGCUCAGGACGAACGCUGGCGGCACGCUUAACACAUGCAAGUCGAACGAGAGAAGAGGAGCUUGCUUUUCUGAUCUAGUGGCGGACGGGUGAGUAACACGUGAGCAAUCUGCCUUUCAGAGGGGGAUACCGAUUGGAAACGAUCGUUAAUACCGCAUAACAUAAUUGAACCGCAUGAUUUGAUUAUCAAAGAUUUAUCGCUGAAAGAUGAGCUCGCGUCUGAUUAGCUAGUUGGUAAGGUAACGGCUUACCAAGGCGACGAUCAGUAGCCGGACUGAGAGGUUGAUCGGCCACAUUGGGACUGAGACACGGCCCAGACUCCUACGGGAGGCAGCAGUGGGGAAUAUUGCACAAUGGAGGAAACUCUGAUGCAGCGAUGCCGCGUGAGGGAAGAAGGUUUUAGGAUUGUAAACCUCUGUCUUCAGGGACGAAAAAAGACGGUACCUGAGGAGGAAGCUCCGGCUAACUACGUGCCAGCGGCCGCGGUAAUACGUAGGGAGCGAGCGUUGUCCGGAAUUACUGGGUGUAAAGGGAGCGUAGGCGGGAUCGCAAGUCAGAUGUGAAAACUAUGGGCUUAACCCAUAAACUGCAUUUGAAACUGUGGUUCUUGAGUGAAGUAGAGGUAAGCGGAAUUCCUAGUGUAGCGGUGAAAUGCGUAGAUAUUAGGAGGAACAUCAGUGGCGAAGGCGGCUUACUGGGCUUUAACUGACGCUGAGGCUCGAAAGCGUGGGGAGCAAACAGGAUUAGAUACCCUGGUAGUCCACGCCGUAAACGAUGAUUACUAGGUGUGGGGGGACUGACCCCUUCCGUGCCGCAGCAAACGCAAUAAGUAAUCCACCUGGGGAGUACGACCGCAAGGUUGAAACUCAAAGGAAUUGACGGGGGCCCGCACAAGCAGUGGAGUAUGUGGAUUAAUUCGAAGCAACGCGAAGAACCUUACCAGGUCUUGACAUCGUAUGCAUAGCUCAGAGAUGAGUGAAAUCUCUUCGGAGACAUAUAGACAGGUGGUGCAUGGUUGUCGUCAGCUCGUGUCGUGAGAUGUUGGGUUAAGUCCCGCAACGAGCGCAACCCUUACUGUUAGUUGCUACGCAAGAGCACUCUAGCAGGACUGCCGUUGACAAAACGGAGGAAGGUGGGGAUGACGUCAAAUCAUCAUGCCCCUUAUGACCUGGGCCUCACACGUACUACAAUGGCUGUCAACAGAGGGAAGCAAAGCCGCGAGGUGGAGCGAACCCCUAAAAGCAGUCUUAGUUCGGAUUGUAGGCUGCAACCCGCCUACAUGAAGUCGGAAUUGCUAGUAAUCGCAGAUCAGCAUGCUGCGGUGAAUACGUUCCCGGGCCUUGUACACACCGCCCGUCACGCCAUGGGAGUCGGUAACACCCGAAGCCUGUAGUCUAACCGCAAGGAGGACGCAGUCGAAGGUGGGAUUGAUGACUGGGGUGAAGUCGUAACAAGGUA